GAAAGUAAAGAAGGGCGAAUGGUGGAUGCCUUGGCUCAUUCAGGCGAUGAAGGACGUGAUAAGCUGCGAAAAGCCACGGUGAGGCGCAAAUGGCCCUUGACCCGUGGAUAUCCGAAUGGGACAACCCAAGUCUUCGGACUUGCCGGCCUCAUGGCCGGCGCCAACGAGGGGAACUGAAACAUCUUAGUACCCUCAGGAAGAGAAAAUAAAUCAAUGAUUCCCCCAGUAGUGGCGAGCGAACGGGGAAGAGCCCAAACCGCGGGUGUCGCGAGGCACCCCCGGGGUUGUAGGACCGCGACGUUGCAUUGGCGCGGCGAGUGGAACGCUUUGGAAAAAGCGACCGUAGACGGUGAGAGUCCGGUACACGAAGCCAAGUCGAGCAUAGCGGUAUCCUGAGUAACGCGGGACACGAGAAAUCCUGCGCGAAUCGGCCGGGCCCAUCCGGCAAGGCUAAAUACUCGAAUGAGACCGAUAGUGAACCAGUACCGUGAGGGAAAGGUGAAAAGCACUUCGACAAGAAGGUUGAAAUAGAUCCUGAAACCAUCCGCCUACAAGCGGUCGGAGCACCGUAAGGUGUGACGGCGUGCCUUUUGCAUAAUGAACCUACGAGUUACCGUCGCGAGCGAGGAUAACGGCCACGAGACCGGGAUCCGCAGUGAAAGCGAGCCUGAAGAGGGCGACUAUAGUUCGCGGUGGUAGACGCGAAACCAAGUGAUCUACACAUGUCCAGGAUGAAGUCCGGGUAACACCGGAUGGAGGUCCCAACCAAUAAGCGUUGAAAAGCUUCUGGAUGAGGUGUGUGUAGGAGUGAAAGGCCAAUCAAACUUGGAGAUAGCUCGUACUCCCCGAAAGGCAUUUAGGUGCCGCGUAUGGGGUUACCCCUUGGAGGUAGAGCGACCGAUAGGACGCGAGGGCUUCACCGCCUGUCAAGUCCUGACGAACUCCGAAUGCCAAGGGGCGGGACCCAUGCAGUAAGGGGGCGGGUGCUAAGGUCCGUCCCCGAGAGGAGAAGAAUCCGGACCGCCGUCCAAGGCCCCGAAGUUUCCGCCGAGUCAGUCUAACGAAGUCCAGUCCCCGUGACAGCCAGGAUGUUGGCUUGGAAGCAGCCAUUCAUUCAAAGAGUGCGUAACAGCUCACUGGUCGAGGGUCAGGGCGUGGAUAAUAAUCGGGUGUAAGCGGAACGCCGAAGGCGCGGGAUAGUAAAUAAUAAAAGUAUCGGUAGGGGAGCAUUCCAGUGACGUCGAAUGGUGCGCGUGAGCUAUCCUGGAGUCGCUGGAAAAGCAAAUGUAGGUAUAAGUAACGAUAAGGGGAGUGAGAUUCUCCCCCGCCGCAAGUCUAAGGUUUCCCGGGCAAUGCUGGUCAUCCCGGGGUCAGUCGGGUCCUAAGUCUAAGCCGAAUGGCGAAGGCGAUGGCAGAGACGGUCAACAUUCCGUCACUGCCGUCUGGGGCGACGUGGAGACGGAGCAGUGACACCACCGCGGGGCGACGGAAGUCCCCGUUGAAGAGCGUAGGCGUUGAUCAUGGCAGGCAAAUCCACCAUGAGAGCCGACCUUGACAGUAUGGAGCCUCCUUCGGGAGGGUCCAACAGCGUGGGUAACCAUACUCCCGAGAAAAUCCGCUAAGCACAACCCAGGCGGCACCCGUACCGCAAACCGACACAGGUAGACGGGUAGAACAUACUGAGGCGUUGAGAGAUUCAUGGUUAAGGAACUAGGCAAACUGACCCCGUAACUUCGGGAUAAGGGGUCCUCGCUUCAUGCGAGGCGCAGAGAAUAGGUCCAGGCAACUGUUUAACAAAAACACAGGGCUGUGCAAAAUUGAAAGAUGAAGUAUACAGCCUGACACCUGCCCGGUGCUGGAAGGUUAAGAGGAGAUGUCAUCGCAAGAGAAGCAUUGAAUUGAAGCCCCAGUAAACGGCGGCCGUAACUAUAACGGUCCUAAGGUAGCGAAAUUCCUUGUCGGGUAAGUUCCGACCUGCACGAAUGGUGUAAUGAUCUGGACGCUGUCUCAACCGUGAGCUCAGUGAAAUUGUAGUAUCGGUGAAGAUGCCGAUUACCCGCGAUGGGACGAAAAGACCCCGUGAACCUUUACUAUAGCUUAACAUUGAAUUUGGGUAAUUGAUGUGUAGGAUAGGCCGGAGACUUUGAAGCAGGUACGCCAGUAUUUGUGGAGUCGCUGUUGAAAUACGGCCCUUUGAUUAUUUGAGUUCUAACCCGUUGUUGCGGGGACACUGUUUGGUGGGUAGUUUGACUGGGGUGGUCGCCUCCAAAAGUGUAACGGAGGCUUCUAAAGGUGCCCUCACGACGAUUGGUAACCGUCGGCAGAGUGUAAUGGCAUAAGGGCGCUUGACUGGGAGACUUACAAGUCGAUCAGGUAGGAAACUAGAGCAUAGUGAUCCGGUGUUUCUGUAUGGAAAGGACAUCGCUCAAAGGAUAAAAGGUACUCCGGGGAUAACAGGCUGAUCCCUCCCA
This 2471-nucleotide ribosomal RNA is filed under the name human gut metagenome. RNAcentral describes it as "bacterial LSU rRNA". It matches the Rfam family "Bacterial large subunit ribosomal RNA", at positions 1 to 2494 of the family's 2925-position model. The record is from RNAcentral.